ACCCUGAGGAUACCGUGAGGGGCUCCUGAGGGCCCGUGACGGAGGGACCCGCUCGCAGGGGCCGGGGGAAGGUGCGGAACGAGCAGAACGCCGCAGGCAGAGUCCCGCAAAGGGGAAAAGGCCGCGGCGGCCCCCAGCUGCAGUGUCUCCAGGCUGGAGAGCUCAGGGGUAGUGCAGGAUCUGCAGGGGAGAAGAGCUGGUGCCCCUCAGAGCUCGGGUGCUGUGGCAACGCUGGGGACGCGGCUGAAAAGAGGCCAAAGAAGCACCAAAGGGGCUCCAAGAGCCAUGGAGAGAGACUUUGGACAAGGGCCUGGCGUGGCCGGACACGGGGUGUCCAGCACUGCCCAGAUGCCUCAGGGUGACACACAGGGCCCUGGUUCAGCUUUCCAGACAGUGGCACCAGGUCAGGAGAUGGUGACCUGCUCUGGGGAUGCACCUGACUGCUGUGACACCACCACUAUCCACAUACCAGAAGAAUGAAACAGCGACUGAAAACAUUCACAAAGUGCCUAUGAGCAGGUUUGCACAGCUCAGAGCUUUAUUUCACAAGAACAAGAUGGAACUCAGGUUUGAUCUUACCAAAGCAGCCUCUGUUAACUUACCAGGUGGAAAUUACCCCGUCUCAGCUUUGAAUAUUAAUUUCAGAGAAAUGAUAAAAGAGGUGGGCAAAGUAUUACCCAGGAGUAAACUGCUGCCUGAGUUUAUAACAGCUUGAGGAAACUUCAAUGAGGCUCACAUUUCUGAGUGCAGCAGAAUUCUGUGGAAACUUAAACUUUGCUUCUGUGUAGAGCAAAACCCUGGGAAAUUCACUACAAAUCUUUUCUUUUGCGUAUUUCCCUUAUAAGUAGUAACACAGUCAUCUAACCGAGGUGUUAGAGUCACUCUUUAGAAGGUUCAGUGCAAACUAAUUGAAAACAGGUAAUUAUUGUUGUUGCAAACGUUGUUGCCAGGCGGUUGCCACACACAGUUGUGGCCUCUGCAGCCUUUCCUCCCCAUCUGGGGCAGAAUUUCAACAUCACAGCAAAACUUUAUGAACUGAAGUUACUCCCCACAUCCACAGAAAUAAAUCUUUGCAGGAUCCAAUUUGGACAGGCUGUUUCUUUCAUCUCCUAAGGCAGCGCUGUGUUCCCAGCAUGGAUGAAAGGGAAUAUUUUCAGGAAUAAAAUCCCCUGGGAUUUCUGUAACCAUGGUAACACAUAUAGAUAGCAGGCCUGCUUCCAAGCCAUGUUUUAUUGUUCCAGCAGUAAAGAACUGGAUCUACAAAUAACCGUCCUGGCCACAGGGAUGAAGUACUGCCCUUUUGCUUUCCCAUCAAAACAAAAUUUUAAAAAUUUAAUAUAUUGCUACAGUUAAACAUUCAGGAUAAAGUGCCAAGAUCUGUUCUGUCAUAAAUCUAACUGGGAUGUCUUGUUUCCUAAGCCACAGUGAGAAAGGGGAGAGUAUUCAGAUAUUUAAUGAGUACCAGAUAAAUAUUUUUUAAUAAUAAUUCAUAUUUCACUGCUGAAUAAAUACCAGCACUUAAGGUUGAAACAAAAAUUAAAAAAAUAAAAAGCAUCCUCAUCAAA
Long non-coding RNA from Taeniopygia guttata (zebra finch), 1565 nucleotides. RefSeq lists it as uncharacterized. NCBI's taxonomy places the organism in Eukaryota, Metazoa, Chordata, Aves, Passeriformes, Estrildidae. The record is from RefSeq and is a predicted model, not a curated record.